UACGGAGGGCGCGAGCGUUAAUCGGUAUUACUGGGCGUAAAGCGCGCGUAGGCUGUUGUGUAAGUUGGGGGUGAAAUCCCACGGCUCAACCGUGGAACAGCCCUUGAUACUGCGCGACUUGAAUCCGGGAGAGGGUGGCGGAAUUCCAGGUGUAGGAGUGAAAUCCGUAGAUAUCUGGAGGAACAUCAGUGGCGAAGGCGGCCACCUGGACCGGUAUUGACGCUGAGGCGCGAAAGCGUGGGGAGCAAACAGG
RNAcentral lists this ribosomal RNA (253 nucleotides) under uncultured bacterium. Its description in RNAcentral is "partial 16S ribosomal RNA". It matches the Rfam family "Bacterial small subunit ribosomal RNA", at positions 524 to 776 of the family's 1533-position model. The record is from RNAcentral.